Molecule: transfer RNA, 82 nt
Filed under: Cellulomonas chitinilytica
Lineage: Bacteria; Bacillati; Actinomycetota; Actinomycetes; Micrococcales; Cellulomonadaceae
Also listed under: 1 other name
Description: tRNA-Gly
Source: RNAcentral
UCACGGGGCUCUCCGCGUGGCGGGCGGCGACGUUCCCGACGCCGCUGGCGUGGGGCGCGUCGUUCGACCCGGAGCUCGUGAC